This 497-nucleotide ribosomal RNA is filed under the name uncultured bacterium. RNAcentral's name for it is "partial 16S ribosomal RNA". It matches the Rfam family "Bacterial small subunit ribosomal RNA", at positions 28 to 507 of the family's 1533-position model. The record is from RNAcentral.
GAUGAACGCUGGCGGCGUGCUUAAUACAUGCAAGUCGAGCGAACGGACGAGAAGCUUGCUUCUCUGAUGUUAGCGGCGGACGGGUGAGUAACACGUGGAUAAUCCACCUAUAUGACUGGGAUAACCUCGGGACACCGGAGCUAAUACCGGAUGAUAUUUUGAACCGCAUGGUUCAAAAGUGAAAGACGGUCUUGCUGUCACUUAUAGAUGGAUCCGCGCUGCAUUAGCUAGUUGGUACGUUAACGGCUUACCAAGGCAACGAUGCAUAGCCGACGUGAGAGGGUGGUCGGCCACACUGGAACUGGAACACGGUCCAGAGUCCUACGGGAGGCAGCAGUAGGGAAUCGUCCGCAAUAGGCGAAAGCCUGACGGAGCAGCGCCACGUGAGAGAUGAAGGUCUUCGGAUCGUAAAGCUCUGUUAUUAGGGAAAAACAUAUGUGUAAGUAACUGUACACAGCUUGACGGUACCUAAUCAGAAAGCCACGGCUAACUACGUG